UAGGGAAUCUUCGGCAAUGGGGGGAACCCUGACCGAGCAACGCCGCGUGAGUGAAGAAGGUUUUCGGACCGUAAAGCUCUGUUGUUAAGGAAGAACGAGUGUGAGAAUGGAAAGUUCAUGCUGUGACGGUACUUAACCAGAAAGGGACGGCUAACUACGUGCCAGCAGCCGCGGUAAUACGUAGGUCCCGAGCGUUGUCCGGAUUUAUUGGGCGUAAAGCGAGCGCAGGCGGUUAGAAAAGUCUGAAGUGAAAGGCAGUGGCUCAACCAUUGUAGGCUUUGGAAACUGUUUAACUUGAGUGCAGAAGGGGAGAGUGGAAUUCCAUGUGUAGCGGUGAAAUGCGUAGAUAUAUGGAGGAACACCGGUGGCGAAAGCGGCUCUCUGGUCUGUAACUGACGCUGAGGCUCGAAAGCGUGGGGAGCGAACAGG
Molecule: ribosomal RNA, 429 nt
Filed under: Bacteroidota bacterium
Lineage: Bacteria; Pseudomonadati; Bacteroidota
Description: Bacteroidetes bacterium partial 16S ribosomal RNA
Rfam family: Bacterial small subunit ribosomal RNA
Source: RNAcentral